RNAcentral lists this ribosomal RNA (431 nucleotides) under uncultured archaeon. RNAcentral's name for it is "bacterial SSU rRNA". It matches the Rfam family "Archaeal small subunit ribosomal RNA", at positions 19 to 457 of the family's 1478-position model. The record is from RNAcentral.
GGAGGCGACCGCUAUUGGAGUUCGAUUAAGCCAUGCGAGUCGAGAGCUUUAGGAGCUCGGCAUACUGCUCAGUAACACGUGGAUAACCUGCCCUGUGCUCCGGGAUAACCUCGGGAAACUGAGAAUAAUACCGGAUAGUCCACCACGCCUGGAACGGUGGGUGGAUCAAAGGUCACGGCACAGGAUGGGUCUGCGGCGUAUCAGGUUGUAGGGGGUGUAAAGGACCCCCUAGCCAUUGACGCGUACGGGUUGUGGGAGCAAUCGCCCGGAGAUGGAUUCUGAGACACGAAUCCAGACCCUACGGGGUGCAGCAGGCGCGAAAACUUCACACUGCAGGAAACUGUGAUGAGGGAACUCCAAGUGCAUGCACAAUGUGUAUACUUUUCCUUACUUUUAAUCGGUUUGGGAAUAAGGGCUGGGAAAGACCGGUG